AUAAUGCUAGAACUCCAGAAGGUUCAGGUUUUUUCGCUCUCUCGCUUCUCCUUAUCAACUUGACAGUGGUGCAGAUAUUUAGCAACUGGAGGGUUUGAUUAGAUAGGCGGCAAAUCUACCCUAAUCCCUCACACCCAAAUCAAAAUCCACAUCAAAACCCAAAAAUCACUACCAAUAGCUUCCAAAACAGAGCCGACCCAGAAGCUGGUCUUCUCAGACGAGUACAAAGCCACCAUCUUUGCUGCAGAACCAAGCUCAGAAGCACAGCCAACAAUGCAAAAAUCUCAGAGGUGAUAGAUGGUGCGAUCUGGAUUUGAUAAUCUGUGUUUCUUUCUUUUGGUAUUGUAUCCAGUGGUCUGCGUGUUGAGUAAUUGGGAGCAUCGCAAAAGCUUGUGUUUUGCGUUUUGAUUGGAUCCAGUUUGUGAUGAGACGAUUGGGUUUAGAACAAGUAGAACAGGUGCCAAUGUCAGAUUCUGCUGAUAAUCUGAGAAAAGAAAACUAAAGCAAAUAGAAAAGGACCUUAGUGAUUCGGCGGAGCAUAAGAAGAGGGCUUUGAGUCUGGCUUUAUUUGGGGCUGCUUACUUACAGACAUUACUCUCUAGUCUUUGCAAAAUCUCAGACACUGCAACAGAAAAGAGAAGAAGGCAAAUCAGUUUGAUCUGCAAUUUCACAAUCCUUGCAAAACCUUGGGCACUGCAAUACAGAAGAGAAGAAGCCAAAUCAAUUUGAUCUCCAAUUUGACACGUGAGAUGCCAUCAAGCUGUACCGCAUCAAUCAAGCUCUGAGAUACAGAGUUUGGGUUGAAAAUGAGUACAAAAUUUGACCAUCUACGGGUACCAGGCAAUCUCACUGUUUUUGCUUCCUUCACUGGUCAAUCUGACCAGGCAUUGAAUCAAAUACCCGGAUUAUUAUCUUUUGAAAUUGCGUUGAGAAAAGCAAGAGAGCUCCAGGCCUAUGUUGACGUGGUUGGUUCCUGUACUGGAAUGGUUCAUUUACAUAUUGUUGGCGUACUUAUUAUGAACGGUGUGAGAUUACUACUACCAAAAGUUGUGCCUUUUGAAGAUUAUUGCUGGUUAGUAUUUUUUUUUUCCAUGCUGGAUUUGUCAAUGUCUAAAUGGAAUGUGAUUCACAAGCAGCUGCUCCAUCUUUUUCGAAUCACUAACAAUUGGCCUCAGCAAAACCACGCACUCUGGAGGAAGCAACUUUUUGGACAUCCUCCAUGACUAGCUAUCAAUAGGCUAACACCGUUUGAGAAUAUACACCUGCUAAUGGACAUCAUACAACUAUUUUUUGCAAACUAUUGCAGCAGCAAUUGUAAUUAGCUUUAAACUGUGACAACCUAUUUUUUGAACACACUACCACAACAUAUGUAUUGGUGGUUAUGUUGCUAGAACAUGAUCUACUUCAUCUUUUGUUGUAAAACAUACAAUCUUUGGUUAAUAUAAUGAUUAUGUCGA
Long non-coding RNA from Rosa rugosa (rugosa rose), 1457 nucleotides. RefSeq lists it as uncharacterized. The record is from RefSeq and is a predicted model, not a curated record. Lineage: Eukaryota; Viridiplantae; Streptophyta; Magnoliopsida; Rosales; Rosaceae. The transcript is spliced from 8 exons.